GACGAACGCUGGCGGCGGGCUUAACACAUGCAAGUCGAACGAGAAAGGGUCCUUCGGGACCUGAGUACAGUGGCGCACGGGUGAGUAACGCGUAGACAACCUACCCCCAGGUGGGGAAUAACUACGGGAAACCGUAGCUAAUACCGCAUAAUGUCAGAUGGCCGCAUGGCUGACUGAUCAAAGCUUUAUGCGCCCGGGGAUGGGUCUGCGUUGGAUUAGCUAGUUGGUGAGGUAAUAGCUCACCAAGGCAACGAUCCAUAGCGGGUCUGAGAGGAUGAUCCGCCACACUGGCACUGAGACACGGGCCAGACUCCUACGGGAGGCAGCAGUGAGGAAUAUUGCGCAAUGGAGGCAACUCUGACGCAGCCACGCCGCGUGCAGGAAGACACCCCUCAGGGGCGUAAACUGCUUUUAUACGGGAAGAAUGCCCUGGUUACCAGGGAGUGACGGUACCGUAUGAAUAAGGACCGGCUAACUCCG
RNAcentral lists this ribosomal RNA (480 nucleotides) under uncultured Rubricoccus sp. RNAcentral's name for it is "bacterial SSU rRNA". It matches the Rfam family "Bacterial small subunit ribosomal RNA", at positions 28 to 505 of the family's 1533-position model. Lineage: Bacteria; Pseudomonadati; Rhodothermota; Rhodothermia; Rhodothermales; Rubricoccaceae. The record is from RNAcentral.